AUUGAACGCUGGCGGCAGGCCUAACACAUGCAAGUCGAGCGGACGAACGGAGCUCGCUCUUGGAUUCAGUUGGGGACGGGCGGGUGAGUACUAGGAAGAUGCCCGGCAGUUGGGGCUAACGUCAGGAAGCGGGCGCGAAUACCGUACACGUUCAUAGGGAGAAAGGGGGGGAUCAUCGGACCUCACGCUAUUAGCUGAGCCUAGGAUGGAUUAGCUAGUUGGUGGGGUAAAGGCAUACCAAGGCGACGAUCCGUAGCUGGUCUGAGAGGGUGAUCAGCCACACUGGAACUGAGACACGGUCCAGACUCCUACGGGAGGCAGCAGUGGGGAAUAUUGGGCAAUGGGCGAAAGCCUGAUGCAGCCAUGCCGCGUGUGUGAAGAAGGUCUUCGGAUUGUAAAGCACUUUUAGUUGGGAAGAAGAGCAGUAAGUUAAUACCUUGCUGUUUUGACGUUACCUAAAGAAUAAGCACCGGCUAACUUCGUG
RNAcentral lists this ribosomal RNA (484 nucleotides) under uncultured bacterium. RNAcentral describes it as "partial 16S ribosomal RNA". It matches the Rfam family "Bacterial small subunit ribosomal RNA", at positions 30 to 507 of the family's 1533-position model. The record is from RNAcentral.